GUGAAAGUGAAAGUGUUUUCCUCACACAAGCGACUAACGGACACUAGUAACGGACUCUCAACCCGAGCAGACAGCUGAAAUCCCCAAAGCCAUCAAUUAUCAACAUGGUGCAGCGAGAUUUGCGUGAGCCGAAAUUGUUCAUGAUGGUGUUUGGGAACCCGCUUAACUCUCACCUGACGUUUAUGAACCGACUCAGGCAACGUCUCAGUUACGGUGAAGGGACUUCAAUAGAAGAGAGCGACGUCAUCAUUGCUUUCGUCGCCAUUUCAUCUCGAGCUGGAACAGAUAUUGAAGCUGCUCUUCAGGAAAUUCCACAAGGAUUGGCUCAGUCUAUUUUUCUAGUGGUGCUCCACCACACCUUUGAUGAAAAUUGGGUGAUUCCAGACAGCAGGCGGUCUGUUAACAGGAGGAACGUCUUCACUGUGGACUGCCUGUUUCAUGAAGACCUAGGCUUCCUGAGAUGUCAAAGCAACGACGAGGCUCUGAGAGCAGUUACUGAUCGUCUAAUCUUUUUAGGAGUUUCAGAAAGGUCAACGGUAGGUUUUAUAAACUGUAUUUUCACUGUUAUGCCCUGUUUAGGGUAUAAUAAUCUGUUUUACAGCAGUGUUUCUCACACCUCUGUUUUAGAAUGAACCUUUUUCUUUACUUGUGUGUUAGUUAAUGAGGAAGCAUAAAAAUUAGCAUAAACUGUAACGGUUUUUGGUCAUGUUGUAAUCCAUGACUGAGGCUACUGUCUGUUCCUCAUCAAUACACCAAAACAGACAUCUCACCCUGCAAGAACUCAUAACAGUAAGGCAGCAUUAAUGCCUCAACCACAGACUUUUCCUUUAAGUCCGCCAUGCCCAGGCCCAGGCCCAAAAAAACAGAUAUAUAGUCACUAUUCCAAACAGUGCAGUGAUUAACAGUGUCAUUAUUUCACUCCUAUCCACCCGUGAUAGAUUGAAGUGUAGUUUGGGUUGAAAUGUGUUUUAUAUUUUGUGUUUAAUGUACACUCUGCUAUGGCGCUGCAUAAGCCCUACCCAUACAGAAACCUCAUUGAUUGGUCAACUAAGCAUAGAGCAAGACCAAUCAGGAGACCUUAUUUGUCACUCUCGCCUUUUGUUGCUUGGGUGCGCUUUCUCUCAUUCACUCACUCGCUCUAAACACGUUUUUCAAGAUAUUGUAUAAACUGUAUUUUUUGCACUAUAAGGUGCACCGGGUAAUAAGGCAUUAUGUAACACUAGUAAAGAACAGGGAUGUUGCUAUGUUUCAGCAGGUCACUCUGCUGGGUGGUGUGACCUGUAAAGCUAAGUUAAGUUAACAAAACUGUAAUUCUAAAAAAAAAGAGUAAUGGAUGUUAAUCUACACAGAUUUCUCUCCUGAAAACUGUUUAUUUGAGUGAGUAAAGCGCUUCCGUUUAUUUAUGUCAGGGUGACCCAGGCAGGGAGACGAGGAGGCGGACACAAGUGCAGGUAAGGGAAAAAUGAAUAAUUUAAUAAAAUAAAUAUAAAUAAACA
Molecule: long non-coding RNA, 1496 nt
Filed under: Astyanax mexicanus (Mexican tetra)
Lineage: Eukaryota; Metazoa; Chordata; Actinopteri; Characiformes; Acestrorhamphidae
Description: lncRNA (ENSAMXG00005007481.1)
Source: RNAcentral